This 357-nucleotide long non-coding RNA is filed under the name Homo sapiens (human). Its description in RNAcentral is "HSALNT0389629". Lineage: Eukaryota; Metazoa; Chordata; Mammalia; Primates; Hominidae. The record is from RNAcentral.
AGAGAGCGAGGAACCUGAGGGAGGGGCGAGGGGGCGGAGGCGGGGCCAGGGGACCGGGGGCGGGGCCUGGAGGGGAGCCAGUGCUCAGCCCUUGAAAAGGCGGCGCCAUCCUAAGGAGGGACACAGAUCCACCGCCCAAUUCCUUUCCUGGGAUCUUCAGAGUUAUAGAAAUUUGAGGUCAAGACAGACCUGGAUUGAACUUAAACCUGACAUCAACUUUUGUGACCUUGGGCUCCUAACCAGCCUCUCCGAAGUGACUGUUAUUAAGAUUAAAAGAAGGUAAUAAAUGUGAAGUGUUUACCUGAAGGGUUUAGCUAGCAUGUAGCAAGCCCUUAAUGACUGCAGCUAUUAUCAUAA